GCGAGUAUAGUUCAAGGGCUAGAAUGCCAGCCUUCCAAGCUGGAAAUGAGGGUUCGAAUCCCUCUACUCGCACCA
RNAcentral lists this transfer RNA (75 nucleotides) under Rickettsiales bacterium. RNAcentral's name for it is "tRNA-Gly". It matches the Rfam family "tRNA". From Rfam's summary of the family: Transfer RNA (tRNA) molecules are approximately 80 nucleotides in length. Their secondary structure includes four short double-helical elements and three loops (D, anti-codon, and T loops). The record is from RNAcentral. Lineage: Bacteria; Pseudomonadati; Pseudomonadota; Alphaproteobacteria; Rickettsiales.